Molecule: long non-coding RNA, 289 nt
Filed under: Elaeis guineensis (African oil palm)
Lineage: Eukaryota; Viridiplantae; Streptophyta; Magnoliopsida; Arecales; Arecaceae
Description: long non-coding RNA (EGUI_LNC039067)
Source: RNAcentral
UGUGGCUGUUUGGCAUUAGCAAGAGCUUUGUACCAUGCUUACCAGUAGUGAAGAUCAUCGAUCCAUAAAAAGGUGAUGAGUUCUGAACUCUACCGACAUAAUCUAAAAGUUAGAUCAGAUUCAGAGUAUCUAUGUGAUCGAUGUAGUUUUCUAUUUUAUAUCAAAUUUUAUAUAUAAAUUUUUUAUGUCAUAGAUUCUUAAUGAUAUUUAGAUCUGAUCUAAAGUAUAUUUAAAAAAUUAAAAAUUUAAUAUUUUAUUAUUCUGCUGUAAAAUUUUAAAAGUACAUGCU